AUCCCACGCGUACCCCGGUUCCGAGCGCGCUGCCCACACCUACCUGACGACUGCUCGCUACGUUCUGUUGGCU
This 73-nucleotide small RNA is filed under the name Xanthomonas cannabis. Its description in RNAcentral is "sX9". It matches the Rfam family "Xanthomonas sRNA sX9". The record is from RNAcentral. Lineage: Bacteria; Pseudomonadati; Pseudomonadota; Gammaproteobacteria; Lysobacterales; Lysobacteraceae.